RNAcentral lists this ribosomal RNA (1270 nucleotides) under uncultured bacterium. Its description in RNAcentral is "bacterial SSU rRNA". It matches the Rfam family "Bacterial small subunit ribosomal RNA", at positions 10 to 1292 of the family's 1533-position model. The record is from RNAcentral.
AGGUUGAUCCUGGCUCAGGACGAAAGCUGGUUGACCGCCUAACGCUUGCCAGUCAAACCAAAGAGAUGGAACUUGCUUCCUCAAACUAGUGGCCAACGGGUGAAUAACACAUGAUGAACCUGCAUCUGAUAGGGGGACAACAUUUGGAAACCACUGCUAAUACCGCAUAGAACCCACUGUGGGCAUCAACCAAAGGGAAAAGGAACAAUCCGCUUUGAUAUGGCCUCUCGUCCGAUUAGCUAGUUGGUGAGGUAACGGCCCACCAAGGCAACGAUUCGUAGCCGGACUGAGAGGUUAAACGGCCACAUUGGGAAUGAGACCCGGCCCAGACUUCUUCGGGAGGCAGCCGUGGGGAAUAUUGCACAAUGGGGGAAACCCUGAUGCAGCGACGCCGCGUGGAGGAAGAAGGUUUUUGGAUUGUAAACUCUUGUUGUUGAGGAAGAUAAUGACGGUAUUCAACAAGGAAGUGACGGCUAACUACGUGCCAGCAGCCGCGGUAAAACGUAGGUCACAAGCGUUGUCCGGAAUUACUGGGUGUAAAGGGAGCGCAGGCGGGAAGUCAAGUCGGAAGUGAAAUCUAUGGGCUCAACCCAUAAACUGCUUUCAAAACUGUCUUUUUGAGUAGUGCAGAGGUAGGCGGAAUUCCCGGUGUAGCGGUGGAAUGCGUAGAUAUCGGGAGGAACACCAGUGGCGAAGGCGGCCUACUGGGCACCAACUGACGCUGAGGCUCGAAAGUGUGGGUAGCAAACAGGAUUAGAUACCCUGGUAGUCCACACCGUAAACGAUGAUUACUAGGUGUUGGAGGAUUGACCCCCUCAGUGCAGCAGUUAACCACAACAAGAUAAUCCACACUGGGGAGUACGACCGCAAGGUUGAAACUCAAAGGAAUAGAUGGGGACCCGCACAAGCAGUGGAGUAUGCGGUCAAAUUUGAUCGCUACGCGAAGAGCCUUACUAAGUAUUCACAUCUGCGUCAGAUGCUGGAAACAGUUUCUAUCGUUCGGGACGCAGAGACAGAGUGGUGCAUGGUUGUCGUCAGUUGGAGUCGUGAGAGGUGUGGAGAAGUCACGCAACGAGUGCACACCCUCAGUCUCAGUUAUUAUGCAAGAGGAGUGUGGCAGGUACCCCCGCCGACAAAAUGGUAGGAAGGUGGGGACGUCGUCAAAUGAUCAUAUCCCUUUAAUCAGUGGGAUACACUCGUGAUACAAUGGCGGGAAACAAAGAUAAGCAAGACCGGGAGGCGGAGUAAAAGUCAGAAACAACGUCCCAGU